GGGAAAGUGGCUCAGUGGUAGAGCACUUGUCUUGCAUGCAUGAGACCCUGGGUUCGAUUCCUUAGCACCA
This is a non-coding RNA of Dipodomys ordii (Ord's kangaroo rat), 70 nucleotides long. NCBI's taxonomy places the organism in Eukaryota, Metazoa, Chordata, Mammalia, Rodentia, Heteromyidae. The record is from Rfam.